GGGUGGCGAGGUAGAGUUACCAGGGAAACACUGAGGGGGUGGAGGAUGGAGAGGUAGAGUUACCAGGGAAACACUGAGGGGGUGGAGGAUGGAGAGGUAGAGUUACCAGGGGAACACUGAGGGGGUAGAAGAUCAAGAGGUAGAGUAACCAAGGAAACACUAAGGGGGUGGGGGUGGAGAGCUAGAUUUACCAGGGAAACACUGAGAGGGUGGAGAGGUAGAGUUACCAGGGAAACACUGAGGGGGUGGAGGAUGGAGAGGUAGAGUUACCAGGGAAACACUGAGGGGGUGGAGGGUGGAGAGGUAGAUUUACCAGGGAAACACUGAGGGGGUGGAGGGUGGAGAGGUAGAUUUACCAGGGAAACACUGAGGGGGUGGAGGAUGGAGAGGUAGAGUAACCAAGGAAACACUAAGGGGGUGGGGGGUGGAGAGCUAUAUUUACCAGGGAAACACUGAGAGGGUGGAGAGGUAGAGUUACCAGGUGAACACUGAGAGGGUGGAGAGGUAGAGUUACCAGUGGAACACUGAGGGGGUGGAGGAUGGAGAGGUAGAGUUACCAAGGAAACACUAAGGGGGUGGGGGUGGAGAGGAAGAGUUACCAAGGAAACACUAAGGGGAGUGGGGGUGGAGAGGAAGAGUUACCAAGGAAACACUAAGGGGGUGGAGAG
Long non-coding RNA from Oncorhynchus tshawytscha (Chinook salmon), 668 nucleotides. The record is from Ensembl. NCBI's taxonomy places the organism in Eukaryota, Metazoa, Chordata, Actinopteri, Salmoniformes, Salmonidae.